RNAcentral lists this ribosomal RNA (444 nucleotides) under Clostridiales bacterium oral taxon 075. Its description in RNAcentral is "bacterial SSU rRNA". It matches the Rfam family "Bacterial small subunit ribosomal RNA", at positions 28 to 461 of the family's 1533-position model. The record is from RNAcentral. Lineage: Bacteria; Bacillati; Bacillota; Clostridia; Eubacteriales.
GAUAAACGCUGGCGGUGUACAUAAGACAUGCAAGUCGAACGGGAGAAGACAGGAAGAUUUAUCUACUUGUUGGACACCGUGGCGGACGGGUGAGUAACACGUAAGCAACCUGCCUAUAAGAGGGGAAUAACAGUGAGAAAUUACUGAUAAUACCGCAUAAGCUGGAGGUAUCGCAUGAUACAUUCAGAAAAGAUUUAUCGCUUAUAGAUGGGCUUGCGUCUGAUUAGCUAGUUGGUGAGAUAACAGCUCACCAAGGCGACGAUCAGUAGCCGGAUUGAGAGGUUGAACGGCCACAUUGGGACUGAGACACGGCCCAGACUCCUACGGGAGGCAGCAGUCGGGAAUAUUGCACAAUGGAGGAAACUCUGAUGCAGUGACACCGCGUAUAGGAAGAAGGUCUUAGGAUUGUAAGCUAUUGUCGUGUGAGAAGAAAAUGACCAUCAC